ACUCAUAUGUAGAUCAAACUAUUAUUUCGCAUACUUUUGGUAAUAGGUAGGGACUGUAAUUGUAGCGCAGUCCUUGUUAGUUCCUGCCCCGCAUGGAACUAUUGCGGAGGCUAAAAUUUUAAAUCGCGAUUAAUCUAGUUGUUUUUAGCGAAUCAGAGUCCAAGAAUUUUUCAGGAGGCAAAUAUUUGACUGCAAGGUGUUUUGUCCGCCUGUAAUUGGGUGUGCAGGAGGCUUACAGCAAAUUCAAGACAAUAUAACGCACUAUUCCCAAACAGAGCGCUGACAAAACAAAGUUUAGAAGAAAACGCACUAUCUCCAAAGACACCGCGGGCAAAACAGGAUUUGCAGUGCUGGCAAUAACUAAAUAAUUGAAGUAAUGCAAUUAGAUAGCUGGAAUGUUGCGGCAGACUGUAGGGCAUGUCAAGUGAGCAACAUUGUAAUUGAUUUUCCAAACGAUUUGCAGAACUCUUCACAAAAAUCAACGCAAUAUAACGUACGACUCCAGAGGACAGGAUAGGCAAAAGAGGUUCUCAGGAAAAUGUUGCAGUGAAGCAUGAUUUUGAAUGUAAACGAGAUAAUUAUCAUUUCAAAGGUAUCCAAGUCAAUCAAAAAUCAAAAUUGGGAUGCACUAUGAACACGUUUCGAGGGGCAACCAGGCUAUUAACGAGAUUUCCCUCCAGUAUGAUGACUGUGGAUAUAAUUAUGCCACAAGUUAUCCCUCAAUUUUCUUUUUCCCCAGAAACAAAACAUCACGGUGCACAAAACCAGUUGGGAAGUCGAACUUGGUGUGCCUGCAAGUGCAGUUUGGAAAGUUUUUAAAAAGAACAUGGACGUAUUUCCCAAGUCGCUGUCCAACAUUGUUACCUCCAUUGAACUACUGGAAGGAGAUGGCGGAGUUGGCACUCUGUUUCUCUUUACUUUUGGUGCAGGUAAUCAUUUAGCUGUCAGCUGCUGAAUUUGUACUGUUAAUAGUAUGCACAUUUGGCACCUACAAAUAUGUGCAUUUUAGACCAAGGGAGCUUAGAAUGGCCAAGGCAAGUCUCAGCAAUGCCUGCUUCACAUAUGUAACUACAGUAGGCAGAUUUAGCUCCUGCCAAAUUUGCCAAAAUACGACUGUACCAAUUGGGCAUGCUUGGCAGCUGUUGAAUGUGUUAAACAUAAUAGAUUGAGGAGCUGCAACUGCUCAUAAUGGAAGUGGAAGUGGUCCAAUGCUAAAAUGGUUUUUGACUGGAGAUCUAUGCAACUGUUUGAUAACCUUGUUGAAGCAUAAGCAUCGAUGUUGUAGCCCAAGAAUAUCAUCUAUAGCUUGAGAAACAUUUGUUGUUGAGUGGCAUUUAAAGGUCGAUUCUGGAUUUAGGUUUAUAUUGGAGCUCACAGAUUUCACACUAAUUAAUUGAAUUAUAUUUAGAUUA
Molecule: RNA transcript, 1412 nt
Organism: Cryptomeria japonica (Japanese cedar)
Lineage: Eukaryota; Viridiplantae; Streptophyta; Pinopsida; Cupressales; Cupressaceae
Exons: 6
Source: RefSeq, a predicted model, not a curated record